UGGGGAAUAUUGCACAAUGGGCGCAAGCCUGAUGCAGCCAUGCCGCGUGUGUGAAGAAGGCCUUCGGGUUGUAAAGCACUUUCAGCGAGGAGGAAGGGUGGUGUGUUAAUAGCACAUUGCAUUGACGUUACUCGCAGAAGAAGCACCGGCUAACUCCGUGCCAGCAGCCGCGGUAAUACGGAGGGUGCAAGCGUUAAUCGGAAUUACUGGGCGUAAAGCGUACGCAGGCGGUUUGUUAAGUCAGAUGUGAAAUCCCCGCGCUUAACGUGGGAACUGCAUUUGAAACUGGCAAGCUAGAGUCUUGUAGAGGGGGGUAGAAUUCCAGGUGUAGCGGUGAAAUGCGUAGAGAUCUGGAGGAAUACCGGUGGCGAAGGCGGCCCCCUGGACAAAGACUGACGCUCAGGUGCGAAAGCGUGGGGAGCAAACA
Molecule: ribosomal RNA, 427 nt
Filed under: uncultured bacterium
Lineage: Bacteria
Description: partial 16S ribosomal RNA
Rfam family: Bacterial small subunit ribosomal RNA
Source: RNAcentral